RNAcentral lists this transfer RNA (71 nucleotides) under Alphaproteobacteria bacterium. Its description in RNAcentral is "tRNA-Gly". It matches the Rfam family "tRNA". From Rfam's summary of the family: Transfer RNA (tRNA) molecules are approximately 80 nucleotides in length. Their secondary structure includes four short double-helical elements and three loops (D, anti-codon, and T loops). The record is from RNAcentral. Lineage: Bacteria; Pseudomonadati; Pseudomonadota; Alphaproteobacteria.
GCGGGUGUAGCUCAGGGGUAGAGAGCUUCCCAAGCUGAAUGUCGCGGGUUCAAAUCCCGUCGCCCGCUCCA